CAAGUGGAUCAGAUAGUCGCCGGCUGACGACAUUUUUGCCGCCAGCGGGAGGAAAGUCCGGGCUCCACAGGACAGGGUGGUCGAUAACGUCGACCGGUCGUGAGAUCAGGGAAAGUGCCGCAGAAAAUAUACCGCCUAAGUCCCUUCGGGGAACGGUAAGGGUGAAAUGGUGCGGUAAGAGCGCACCAGCAGCUGGGGUGACUCAGCUGGCUUGGUAAACCCCACCCGGAGCAAGGCAAACAGGCGGAAAACGCGUUGGCAACAACGCCGCACGGGCUCGUCCGGCCCGUCACCUACCGCCGGGUACGCUGCUAGAGACGUGGAGCAAUUCACGCCGUAGAGGAAUGACUAUCCCUGCACUCGUUGCAGGACAAAACCCGGCUUAUCGAUCCACUCGGGUC
This 401-nucleotide RNase P RNA is filed under the name Bremerella alba. RNAcentral describes it as "Planctomyces sp. FF15 Bacterial RNase P class A". It matches the Rfam family "Bacterial RNase P class A". From Rfam's summary of the family: Ribonuclease P (RNase P) is a ubiquitous endoribonuclease, found in archaea, bacteria and eukarya as well as chloroplasts and mitochondria. Its best characterised activity is the generation of mature 5'-ends of tRNAs by cleaving the 5'-leader elements of precursor-tRNAs. The record is from Rfam by way of RNAcentral. Lineage: Bacteria; Pseudomonadati; Planctomycetota; Planctomycetia; Pirellulales; Pirellulaceae.